Molecule: long non-coding RNA, 903 nt
Filed under: Homo sapiens (human)
Lineage: Eukaryota; Metazoa; Chordata; Mammalia; Primates; Hominidae
Description: HSALNT0269010
Source: RNAcentral
CAUUUCCAAAAUGGUUCGACAUUCUAUAAAUGACAGUUUAUGUGCCUAUAAUAUGCAUCUGGUGAAAUGCGUAUUUUCCUUUCAGAAGGUGUUUCCAUUACGGUUAUUCUGAACAUCACGUGAUCUUACAGUUGCUAGGGUAACUCCAUCUUUUUUAAAGGAGAACAACAGAGUAAAUAAGCACGUAAAUCGACUUUGGUGCUAUGUAAAUUCUAGUGAAUCUCUUAUCGUUACCUUGACGAUAAAAAAGCUGGCAUUUAUCUUCUCUGGCCCCCAGCACGCUUUAGUUUGAACUUAAAUUUUAUAAAAUACACGUGUGGGUAUGCCAAAGGCUCUACAGAUAUCCAGGAAGCAGUGCUGGUCAAGCGAUAUGUUCAACAGGCAAGGCCGCCUGGACAAUGACGAUGGGUCACAGAAGAACCAGGGGAGGGAGUAAAUGGGAGACCAGAUGUUCAGAGUCAAGAGGUAAUACCUGUCAAUUAUGGGCUAUCACUCAGUAAGCCUACUCAGGUGGCACGUGAGCUUCUGGAACAGCCGGAAACCUUGUCAACUGUCCAGGUAGUUUGUCCACCUGAAGUCUCACCUAUGACUUCUCUGGAUCCUUUGGCAUCCUAGCACUGAAAUCUGCAAAGCUGCUUAUGUACUUUCUGUAAGGUGAAAAUUACGGAUGCAGCACCUGUGAUUAAGUCAUGAUGGCUGGAAGUAAAUCUUGGUGAAUAUUUCUAAAUGUUUUCCACAUUUCCCAUACAGAGGUUUGAUAAUUUGUUCACCUAGUUUCCAUUUUAUAAUUGAGGUUGGCAGUGGAGACCAAGACUCGAUGUGGUGUGGGUCAAUUUGGAAGAAUUACUUCGAAGAAAAUGAGAAAGAAACACUCAAAUGAAAUCCCUUUUGAGGAAGGAGAUA